CCUACGGGGAGCAGCAGUGAGGAAUAUUGGUCAAUGGGCGGAAGCCUGAACCAGCCAAGUAGCGUGCGGGAUGAAGGCCCUACGGGUCGUAAACCGCUUUUGCACGGGGAUAACACCCUCCACUUGUGGAGUUCUGCAGGUACCGUGCGAAUAAGGGCCGGCUAAUUCCGUGCCAGCAGCCGCGGUAAUACGGAAGGCCCGAGCGUUAUCCGGAUUUAUUGGGUUUAAAGGGUGCGCAGGCGGCCUGUUAAGUCAGCGGUAAAAGCCCGGGGCUCAACCCCGGCGCGCCGUUGAAACUGGCGGGCUGGAGUUGGAGAGAAGUACGCGGAAUGCGCGGUGUAGCGGUGAAAUGCUUAGAUAUCGCGCAGAACCCUGAUUGCGAAGGCAGCGUACCGGAUCCAAACUGACGCUGAGGCACGAAAGCGUGGGUAUCGAACAGGAUUAGAUACCCGGGUAGUC
Molecule: ribosomal RNA, 459 nt
Filed under: uncultured bacterium
Lineage: Bacteria
Description: partial 16S ribosomal RNA
Rfam family: Bacterial small subunit ribosomal RNA
Source: RNAcentral